Molecule: RNA transcript, 5763 nt
Organism: Scophthalmus maximus (turbot)
Lineage: Eukaryota; Metazoa; Chordata; Actinopteri; Pleuronectiformes; Scophthalmidae
Gene: ccdc78
Gene name: coiled-coil domain containing 78
Exons: 16
Source: RefSeq, a predicted model, not a curated record
AUAGUACUCUGGAAAAAUAACAUGUAUACGCUAACACAGCGGUUAAAGGUUCAUACACAGACUACUGUGUCUGUGAUACAGCGGUUAGGGAACAGUGUAAACUAACCUUGGACACUUUAAUCGUCAACAGGAUUUCGUUUGUGUAGUUGGCGGUGAAAGUAAGAGGUGGUUGUACUGAGCCUGAAUGCUGUCUACGGUGUUAUCUGUGGCGCUGUUGUUUGAAUGAAUAAACAGUAAUUUUCGGUCGGACAGAAAGAAGGAAACCUCACCGGCUUUGUUUUGUGUUCUUUUUAAACCAUGGCAACCUAUUGUUGGUGGAUACAGCGAGUGUCUCAGUUUGAGUAGCAGCCACUGAAUGACGCGAAUAGAGAUGGACACUCUGGACCGCCUGACAACUUCGGACGAACUUCAGGAGCGACUACAAGCCCUGACAGGAGAAAAUUUUCAGCUGCACAACAAAAAUGAACGCCUCUUCGCAAAAGUGGGGUUCCUGGAGGGCAGAUUGGGCCACCUGGCCAGCUCCAACACAGAUCUGUCCUGGAGGCUGGUGCAGAGUGAAGAGGAAAAACUGAAGAUAUCGAAGGAGCUUGUGGGGGAGAAGAUUCAGACCAACAAGAUGAGAGAGCACUUUGAGGAAGAGACGUUUGAGCUGAAAAACAAGAUUUUGAACCGAGACAGCGUGAUAACAGAGCUCGAGAUGGAGCGAGACAAGCUGUCUCGGGAACUUCAGUCAGCCGAGGCUCGUCUGAAAGUGGGAGAGAAAAGCGGACAAGACCUGACAGAAGACCAUGCCACUCUGAAGGAGAGCUUCCUGGCACUGGCCCAGGCCCACGAUAAAGAGCUGGCCCAGGGUGAGGAGCUGAGUGCCGAGCUUCUGGCACUGGCCCAGGCCCAGGACGCCCUCCGCAGGCAGCUGGCGGAGCAGGAGCGGAGUGUCCAGACCACCGCCCAGGGCCUCCACGGAGAGCUGGCCAGAGUGCGGGCCUUGAUCAGCAGCAUGUCAUGUAACAGAGUCCAGCAUGAGGAUUUGGCAGCAUUGGACAAAACUAUGAAAAAAACUCUUCUUGGGAACCAAGACGAGAUCAAAGCGACGCUGGAGAAACUGAGGGACAGUUACAAGGAGCAGCAGAAGAGCCUGGAGGAGAAACUGGUGGCCAUGGGUAGGGAGCACCAGGAGAGCAGGAGAGCGAUCCGUAACAGCCAACAGAAACUGUCUGAGCAGAGUGCGGCCCUGAUGUGCUCUCAGAGCCAAGCGAAGGAGGUGGAAGAAGAGAACUCAAAGCUGCAGCUUCAAGUCAAAGAGCUGAAUGAGGAAUACCGUGCACGGCUGGUGUGCUAUGUGCGGGACUUAUCUGGGUACCUUGACGGCCUUGGAGAUGGUCAAGCUCCUUCGGAGGGAGCGAAGGUGAGGACGUUUGUGGAAAGCAUGUUGCAGGAUGUGCGUUCGUCGUACAGGGUCAGGGAGGAACAGCUCGCCUCCGCUGCUCGCUCCUAUAAGAAGAGACUACAGAAGAUCACUAAGACCCACCAUGCCCUCCUUAUCGCAUACAGGGUUCAGAGGGAGCAGAUUUUGGCCACACCGGAGAACGGACUUGACCCUGGACCUCCAGAGGCCCAUUUCAGCCUGGCGCCCACUGAACUGAGAGAUGAGACCGAGAGCGAGCUCCAACACCUUCGUCAGGACAAGGCGAGGCUGGAGGGUCAGCUGCAGGCGGCCCGGGAGGAGGUGGCUGCCCUCAACAUGCCUGUUCAGAAUUUAAGCUGUCAGAAGCUGUCAAAACUGGAGCAGACGUGUGAGGAAUCCUGGACGGACAUACGGACACAGCUGAAGGAAAUCUCAGCCUCUACACUGGUGAGCUUCGAGAAGGAGCGAGCCCUUCUCAUCACCAGAGCAACGGUUGCAGAGGCGCAGGUGUUGGAGUUGCAGGACUACAUUGACAACCCCCUGGGCAGGUAUAAAGAAGAGAUCACCCAUCUCCGCAGACUGCAUGGAAAACAAGAGGCAGGGCGAUCCCAAAGUGCCCAUUCACCUCUCCAUUAAAAGAACUGGUGAAGGGGCUCCUGGUGGAAUGGCGGCAAGAGGCUGUGAGAAGAACCAACCCUGGGACCUCGGAAAAAUUGUGCUGAUAUUUACCCUGCGAGCCCCCAUGAGAGCCUCAUGUGAAAACUGACACCUGCUCUCUCAUUGCACUUUCUCAGGAUCCUGAUUGUAGCUUGAUUGUGAGCAGCGGACGGGGAUGGAACAGCCAAACGAAAACACGUCGCAGCCGCCGCAGAAUGGAGAGGAAGUUUCCUGUGGUACUUUGAGCUUUAAGGGUAAAUUUAGACUACAAAGCAUCUGCAGUCAGCGCCACAUCUUUUGAUUGUAGCCAGAUUGAAGCAGGCAUUUGUUGUGCUCUUUUUUUUUUAUGGACGCUGCAUUUCCUCAUCAGACUGUGGUAAUGUGAGCGAAAUUGGGUCUGUGAAUGGUUUGGCCCGUCUUGAUUUUGGAGGGAAACACACUUCUCUUUUGGUAGGCAGCGUCCCCAGUCCCUUUCACUUCACAUUUAUGACACUCAUUAGGUGCCAUUAGCUGCAUCUCCAUAUCCCACGACUUGUAAUCCAGAUGAGGGGGUUGUUAUCAGUAGCCCAGCGGCGCUGCAGUCCGUGCCUUGGGCCUGGUGAGUUUUGAUAGACAGUGUUGUUGGAGCCCAGCUGGGGGUCAGACAGAGGUUCUCCGCUGUCCGUCUCCUGUGCUGCGCCCCCUCCCCCGCACUGCUUCUAAUUGGCUGGAUCAAAUUGGAGGGAAACUUAACAAGGAGCAGGAUCCCUCCAAAAUCGACAAUAGGUAUAGUGUUUUACAUAUGUCCACAGGAAAGACAGAUGUUGUCCCUCUCGACCACAUCCACAUUUGAAUACCCUUAUUUCGAUACAAUGGGAGAGGAUACAAAGGGACUAUAUUUUGGCGGUCAAGCAAAUGCAUAAUUUUGGCGGCCAAGACGAGUUAGUGUUCUUAAAGUUGUUGUGAUAGAUCUCACAUAGUCUGGAUGCUGUGGAGAGUACAUAUUUUAAUUCAUAUAACAUCUGUGUAGGAGGGGUUACUGUCAAACAUGGCAACUAAAAGUCAGAUCCUCAAAAUGUGACAUGUUUUACCCCUUGUAUCAGUGACAAAUUAGUUUCUUAUAGCAUUUUAGGGCUUUCUCUGCAUCCAGGAUAUGUCAAAGAUAAUAAUUUUAUCAUCAUUUUCAGCAUCCAUUGAGGUAAAGUGUUUUUUAACAAAAAAUUACAGCCUAAAAGAAUCUGUAUAAAUAAAUUAGGUUUCCUUAACAAUUUCACAUUUGGAAGAUAAAAUAUGAAAUACAAAUAUAUGCCUUUUCCUCUCAGAGAGUUAGGUGAGAAAAAAGAUACAUAUCCUUUAGCAGCUGGUUAGCUUAGCUUAGCAUAAAGUCUUGAAAACAGGGGAAGCAGCUUUUCUGAAUCUGUUUAAAGGUAAGAAAAUCAGAAGCUCACUAAUGAACAUCUGAUCAUAUUUGGCUUGUUAAGUCUGUAAAAAAAACAACAACGCAAAAAGUAUAAAACAGUGGAGAUAUUUAUGAAGGGUUUCUUCAAGCUAAGCUAAGCCAAGCUAACCUUGUUGUCCAGAGUCAGCACUUUUACCAAAACGUUGAACUGUUCACUUAUAGGUGCCAGGUGUACGUUUUCUCUGUCGAUAGUAAAACCUGUACAUAGAGCACAUUUAAUAGGCAUGCACAGAAUGGAUGUGAAAUCCAAAAUCUGAUGAAUCCUUACAUCACCGUUGCCUUAACAUUGAAAACAUCUCAUAUAAAUUAAAUUUAUGUAUUAUUCUAUAUUAAUAUAAUGUAUUAAAAAUGUGUAAUGUAUUAAUGUUGACUAACAUGACUUCUCUCUUGCUUGUCUUAGUUUAAAAAACCGACGUGCACAGGUCACAUUUUAAAUGUCACACAUCAGACACUCACAGUUGGAAAAUGCUGCAGACUAAAAGACAAAAGAAUGGAUGGUCAGUUUUUUUUCUUUUGUUGCCUGACUGCAUUCGAUCUCCUCCUCCUCCUCCUCCUCCUCCUCCUCCGUCUUCUCUGCACUACAUCCUGCUCUGUCAAUUGAGUUUGCUCAGCCUAGGCUAUCCUUGGCUUGCAGAAUAUAAUUAGUCUGCCUACACACAUACACAUGCACACACACACAUGCACAUAGAGACUUUAAACUUUAAACCCCCCAUACAAAGGCCCACUCACACAAUAGACACAUGCCAAUACUAUGACCCCCUUGGCUAUCACCCCAUGCACAAAACACUCCCUGUUCGUCCUCAAACCCUCCCCCUCCUGCUCACUCAGCACAAUAAUGACACUGAUAAGAUUACAUUUUUUACAUAUCACAUUUCACAUCGUAUCAUACAAAUAAUAGAGAGCUUAACAGGUGCUGAAUCUCAGCUUUUACGGUGGAGAUCUGAAAUCUGGCUGUUGGUCAGAAUGACGCUCGCCGCUUGCCUCGAUGUAUUAAGUUUCACGUGAUAAAGUUAAUAAUGCGUUACGGUUUCAAAGCAGGAUGCCGAGGAGUUUGUAACCAAAGAUGGAGCGGAGCUUUGCCUUCAUAAACCGUUGAAAGUCAGGAUCUAAAGUCAUUGCUCACUUACAUUUUCAAGUACGAGUUAAGACUGCUGCGUGAACCACAACUUGCAAUAACUUUUAUUUGCAGAAGUAAAAUUAUGCUUGAUCAUAAACUUGAUGAGAAUAAAGGUGUCACAUAACAGUGAUUCUACAAUAGUGAUAACAAGCGAUUUAGUGAUCAUUCUUCCAGCCUUAGCAGUAAUCUGAGAAUCUUUGCAUUUCAGCCCCCAGAUGACAAUCACGCUCUCUGAAUGGAGACGCAGUCGGACCAUAAUUGCACACCACAUCUAAGUCCAGAGCAUCUUUUAUCUCCCACCAUCUUUCAGCGACUCCAUUCAGGCUCCUUGGUGACCUGUAAGCUCGUCCCCGAGCCCCUUUUGAUCUAGUUUCUUUUUAAAUGCCAUUGCACACGAGCCCUUUGCUCUCUCUCUCAGCACCUGCAAUGCAGUGUCCUGCGGCUCAUCCGGGGAACCUGUCAUUUAAAAAAAUGUAUACAUCUGUUGCAAAUGAGGUAGCCUUUGUUGGGGGGGAACCCUUGAGGCGACCGCCAAAAUUUGGUGUCCCCCUGGCUCCAUCAUUGAGUAGACCCCCAACCCCCCCGCUUCACUGACCCACCCAUCCACCCACACACACACACAUACACACACACACACACACACACACCUCCCACUUCAGGGGUAUCAUAUCACCUAUCCCUCGGGGUAUGGUGUGCAGGGUUGGAUGUUCUCAUGAUAACAGGUGUAUUUGAAUGUAUACAACAGGUGGGCUGAACGCUUAAAGAGAAGUCAUGUGGUUGUGUUGCUGGCUUUACCAUUGUUGUACGGUUUAAAUGUAUUUCAUAUCACACAGUGGAAUUAAUGAAUAUUUUAGCAAAAUCUUUUAAUCAUUUCAGUUUAAGCUUUUGUGGCAUAAUUGUGGAGGUAAACCCCCCACAAACAUUCAAUAAAAACAUCUUUGACGGAUGCUGGAUCAAAAAAAUAUCACAGAGGAACCUCUAACACCUAAAAGCUCCCGUUGAAGGAUUUUAUUUGCUGCAAUAAUGUUAAAAGCCCACAGCUCUUCCCCAGACAGAUAAUUGUGGAAGUGACCGUUAGAUCCUGUUUUUAAGCAUUGAGCAUAUUAGAAGUUCUGCAAAGCAUACCAGAGGCAAUAAAUAUUUAUC